Molecule: long non-coding RNA, 386 nt
Filed under: Glycine max (soybean)
Lineage: Eukaryota; Viridiplantae; Streptophyta; Magnoliopsida; Fabales; Fabaceae
Description: long non-coding RNA (GMAX_LNC003228)
Source: RNAcentral
CCAGCGUAAACAAUACUAUGGUAGCUAUCCAGACUCUAUUCAUUGUGAUCCCUACAUCCUCUCCACUAACACUGCUGCCUCCACAGUGCCAAUUGACCCUGCCUUUCACCAAUCUCUAUUAUUCAACAUAUUGAAUCGUAAUCCUUCCUUUCACCAAUAAUAGGGUGUAAUUGCAGUUUAUGCCCUGCACUUUUUAAAAAGUAAAUUGAGCUCCUUCCUCGAUAGACAAUGGACAAUGGUCGAUAAUUUGUAUUUGAAGACAGAUUAAUUCCAGUCAAAAGUAGAAACUUUCAAAACGAAGAUAAAUUACAUACGGGUUUGUCAUUGGGCUCCUUCCUCAACACAAUGGGAACCUAUUUUAAUGUUCAAAACAAACCCAUAAAAAG